This 840-nucleotide ribosomal RNA is filed under the name Triticum aestivum (bread wheat). Its description in RNAcentral is "partial small subunit ribosomal RNA". Lineage: Eukaryota; Viridiplantae; Streptophyta; Magnoliopsida; Poales; Poaceae. The record is from RNAcentral.
AUGGUAUGUUCUACAGGUGAACCCGGUGAACCCCACAAUCUUGAAGAAGCUUUGAAUGAUGAAAAGUGGAGAAAGGCCAUGAAUGAAGAAUUUGUGGCGCUACAAAAGAAUAAAACAUGGCAUUUGGUCCCUCCACAGAAAGGUAAAAAUCUCAUAGACUGCAAGUGGGUCUUUAGAAUCAAGAGGAAGUCAGAUGGAACUAUUGAUCGGUACAAAGCUAGAUUGGUUGCAAAAGGAUUCAAACAACGUUAUGGCAUAGACUACGAGGACACGUUUAGUCCUGUUGUUAAAGCUGCCACUAUUCGCCUUGUUUUGUCUAUUGUUGUUUCCAGGGGCUGGAGUCUCAGGCAACUGGAUGUUCAGAACGCGUUUCUCCAUGGUGUUCUGGAAGAAGAGGUGUACAUGAAGCAACCUCCUGGGUUUGUGAACAAAAAUGUUCCUUCUUACAUUUGCAAACUUGACAAAUCAUUGUAUGGGUUGAAGCAAGCCCCACGUGCAUGGUAUUCACGUCUCAGUAACAAGAUGCAACAGCUUGGUUUUGUUCCUUCUAAGUCUGACACCUCACUGUUUAUUUACAACAAGCACAACACAUACAUAUUUGUACUCAUAUAUGUUGAUGAUAUAAUUGUCACAAGUUCAUCAGAUGAGGCUGUCACAGGGCUCUUGAAAGAUCUCAGCUCAGAGUUUGCUCUCAAGGAUCUCGGAGACUUGCAUUAUUUCCUAGGGAUUGAGGUGAAGAAGCAUGAGGAUGGACUUCAUCUCUCUCAGGAAAAGUAUGCGGCAGAUCUGGUAAAGAAGGCAGGUCUACAAGGUUGUAAGCCCUCACCUACUCCUAUGUAA